This is a small nuclear RNA of Lupinus angustifolius (narrow-leaved blue lupine), 160 nucleotides long. It matches the Rfam family "U1 spliceosomal RNA". Rfam says of the family: U1 is a small nuclear RNA (snRNA) component of the spliceosome (involved in pre-mRNA splicing). Its 5' end forms complementary base pairs with the 5' splice junction, thus defining the 5' donor site of an intron. There are significant differences in sequence and secondary structure between metazoan and yeast U1 snRNAs, the latter being much longer (568 nucleotides as compared to 164 nucleotides in human). NCBI's taxonomy places the organism in Eukaryota, Viridiplantae, Streptophyta, Magnoliopsida, Fabales, Fabaceae. The record is from Rfam.
UUACUUACCUGGAUGGAGUCAAUGGAUGAUCAAGAAGGUCCAUGGCCUAGGUUGUUGACCUCCAUUGCACUUUGGAGGGGCGCCAACUUAAGGUCUCCCCAAAUGGAGAGCCUACAUCAUAAUUUGUGGUAGUGGGGGCUUGCGUUCGCGCUGCCCCUCU